GAAUUUGUACUAAUCUGGGUUGAAGUAAUGAUCGUCUCUCCUAUUGGUAGAGCGUACAACGUCAACCAAUAGCAAAGCAUUUUCUAACCCAAGUUGGUGCAAACCCGGUCUGGCCGAGAACACUAUAAGAUUUGAUUAUGAAUAUUGGCCUUUGAUUCUUAGGGCCCUAGUACAGACUCAUACAUAACGCAUCAAGCAUAAGGGAUAAGAAAAUCAUUCAAUCAGAAUCCUUUAUUUUGUGAAAAGGAAGGAAAUAAAAGACUUUGAUUGGUUUUUCUUAUGCAUUAUGUGUUGUGCGUUAUGCAAGAGUCUGUGCUCCCCGUCUUAAACUCAUAAAAAAAAAGUGUCACGACCUUAAUGAGUGCAUUCAAUACCACAACUGCUCACUGAGCGCUCAGUGAGCUCUUGCAUCUGAUUGGCAUAUUCCGUUAGAUCUAAAAAUAUAGACCAAACAGAUACAAGAGGUCAUUGAGUGCUCAGUGGUGAGCGGUAUAGUACUGAAUAGAGAGCCUAUAAUCAGAGUGGCGCCAUGUUUUAGCGAAAUUCUGCGAGAGAGAAAGAGAUAUACGGUCUCAGUCUAUCCAACAGACUGUCAGUUUUAGGGUUAGGUGCAACAGCAUUGAACGACAUAGAUACGUAAAGGAUAUGUUAUGAAAAUAAUUCCGAAAGACACAGAACGUCGAAUGAAUUGGUUAAAGAGUAUAAAUGGCAAAUAUAAAAAUUGGACACCGUCAAAAAAUUCAUCUGUAUGUGAGAUGCAUUUUGCUCCUAAAAU
Acromyrmex echinatior (Panamanian leafcutter ant) is the source of this 775-nucleotide long non-coding RNA. The record is from RefSeq and is a predicted model, not a curated record. NCBI's taxonomy places the organism in Eukaryota, Metazoa, Arthropoda, Insecta, Hymenoptera, Formicidae.